This is a long non-coding RNA of Passer domesticus (house sparrow), 3876 nucleotides long. RefSeq lists it as uncharacterized. The transcript has 3 exons. The record is from RefSeq and is a predicted model, not a curated record. NCBI's taxonomy places the organism in Eukaryota, Metazoa, Chordata, Aves, Passeriformes, Passeridae.
GAUUUAGUUACCCUAAAUAAGGGUCUGUAACAACUGAUACCUUUGAAAAGAAGUGAGGAUCUACAAAAAAUUGAUAAUAUUUUUCAGGAGUCUAAAUAUCUACUAAGGAAACUUACUUUGAUAGUACACAGUCAUUAUCUUUACUUAGCUUUCAUUACAAGCAAUAAAAGCAGUGCUGAAGAACUAAAGAGAAGAUAUUCUUCUUUCCUUUCAGACUGAUUGGAAGUUUGGCACAGUGACUGGAAGGGAUAAGUCAGAGCCAUGUCGCCAUCUUAUUCCUACACAGAGUGUGAGCCACCUCCACAUGGUCUCUACUGCACCUGAGCUAUUAAUAUUAAUAAUCUGAAACAUGUUAAAGACAUGAACACUUCAUAAAUACUUACAGUCCUGAGAUCUCUUGCUCCUUGACAAAAGACCUGAUCAAACAUCAAUACAAUUUUGAAUCUAGAAAGAUUGUGAGAACAUAAAUCUAGAAAGAUUGUGAGAACAUAAAAAAUUGUGUUAAUAAAGACUGUUGCAGUGAAAGGCAUUAAUAACAGCUAUAAUAUGGAAAGAAGGAGCCUGCAUUCCACUUCAGAAAUAUGUGGCAUAUGUAGGAUAAAAUACAAAGCUAAAAAAUUCUUUAUUACAGUAACUGUAAUAGUUCCUUGGUUUUAAAUGUAAAUAUCAGAAAGAAGUAAAAAUUGCCUUUAGCACAAUUUAAAAAUUUUUCUGAUAAUAGUCAAUCCUACCAAACAGAGCUAACUCACCCAGAAGAAAUAAUAGGCAAAUAGGCAGAGUCUGUCAAAAUGAGACGACUCCUUGCUGUGUAACAGGAAGGCUUUUAGUGAUAUGGUUGAAAGUGCACUCAGAAUAGAAGCUCUCAAAUAAAGAAACAGAAUUUAAGAAGUUUUCAGUGCGAAUUUGGUCUCUCAAAGGCCUUGUGCAUUGCUAUUGAUUUUCAUGGAUUUGAGCUAUUAUUUCAUCUGGGGCUUGCUUCAAAUAAUUUACUUCAUCCUACCUGCCUGCUGAAUUUCAUAUUUCACCUUGUCUUUCAGAACACAAACCCAAAGAAACAGGUCCUGUCAUAUUAAUACAUUUGUUUAGUACCUACUUGCCAAGGGUCCUUUACUGAAAGUCAUGUAGACAACAGCGCUAGCUCUGAUUUGCAUUGCAUUUUCCUAUACUCAUAUCCAAGACUGUUCCCUGGCAAACCUGGAACUAAAUCACUAAGACUACAGAGAGAGAAACAAGGUACUAAUAUGUAUCCAAACCACUAAAAUAAACAAAAAUUAUAUAUCUGUUGGAGUGAAGGAACUCUGGUUUUCAUGAGGAGCACUCCCCCUGUUACAGAAAAUAAUUUAUCAACAACAUUGAAGCAUUUUCAAUGGCAAAACCAACACGAUCAAACACCAGAAAUCCUUAAUCUUAGUUCAAAAUCUGAAGCCCUUAGGCAAAAUUAGUUAAAAAGAACAGUUCCCUUGGAUGGUGGUGUGCAAGCCUUUAGAGAGCCACCCAUACACAGAGGAAGGUUUUUCUACAAACUGACUUUUGCCUAGGGUGGCCACUGCCUUUCCAUGGACUCCAUCUGCAGUCAGCAGAGAAGAGAGAGAUUCCCUCAAAAUGGCAAACAAGAGCCAGAGCCAGAGCUAAACUUCUCUGAAUUGCUCUCCUGGGGGAUUUUUUCCCUUCUCAAUGACAUUAGAGCUUUUAGAGGCGUAUUAUUAGCCUUGGGUAGAGGGAGGAUACUCAAAUGAACAAGAAGCAAUGAGACAAUAAACUUGGAGUUUUGUUUCCCUCAUUUGAUGCCUUUGUUGAUUCUGUUAAAUAACUUGAGCAGCAAAGAGAACUAGCUUAAGUCUGCAGUACACUUGUAAUUUUCCAUUCUAAAACCUGUUCUCUUUUCCUCAACCUGUAAGAAUUGGGUUUUUUACAUUUGUUGUGGAAAUCAGAAUUUUAAAUAAACCUUUACUUCUUUUGGUAUAUCAAAAAAAAAAAAGAGGCUAGAAUAAAAGAAUUCAACUUUAUAUUAGACCCUUAAAAUAUUAAAUGAUCUCUUAAAAUUUUUAACUAAUUUCUAGUUCAUGAAAUGAACACUAAUUUCCUGCAAGUAGCAACCCAACAUGACAAAGUAUACACUGCUGCAGGAAUCCCUCUUGUAUUUAAGGCACCAGAUAGAUUAGUCAGUUGUAGUUCAGUACCAAAAAGUUUGUUUCCUGACUGAGAAGCCAGACUCAAAUAAACCAGACUGACUAAAAAUCUUCUGAUGCUCUUUGCAGAUAGAAUCAAACAGUAGACAUUUUGAAAAGUGGGGAGUCUGCAUCUGAAAGAAAACCUCCCAAUGAGAAUUACCAUCCUGUAACAAGAAAGCCAUUUCUGACUAAAUCAUUCUCCUUUGCUCUAAAUAGAAUGGUCUGAAUUUCCUAUAUACAAGUUAAACACAUUCUGUCAAUAAAUGAAUAAACUGCUUCAAACCUGAUUUGAUUUAAACCACAUGAGUUGAAAAGGAUUUUCCCUUUAACUGUAAAUAGUGGAUGAAGACACUAAACUGAGGCACAGACUCAGCUUAACACCCAGGUCAAAUCACACCGAUGCCUAUCCAGAUACCUAUUUUUGAAGAUGAAACAGGACAACAACUCAGAGCUCAUGCAAUGUCUCUUCAGAAAAGGAUGUACUAAAGUGCAGAAAGAAAACCUAGUGAGCCACCAGUCUAGAAAACAGAAAUAGUGUGAAGAAAUAAGUGAAGGAGGACAUCAGGAUGACAGGAUGGGAUCUUCUUUUUAUCCACUAAGUGUCUAAAAACAGUCAUGUAAAAUUUGUGCUUUCUAUAGAUAUUACAAUGUAUUUUUUGACCAUUUUGUGAAGUUAUCUGCCCUGUUAGCUAAAUUCCCAACAUUUUUGCACACAACUUUUAAAUGAGCUUAAAUCAGUUUAAGUGAAAAAACUGAAGAGCUUUUGAUCAGUUCAGUAUAUGAGUUGCAAAGAUGACAUUAGACUCCUUCCUUCAAAGCCUUAAUUUGAUAUGUUACAGGUACUACAGAGAAAUCAGCAAUUAAAACCAAAGCUGAUACUUUCAAUAUGAGAGGGGGGAAAACCUAAAUACCGUCUGAACUGCACUGUUUUCUUGAAAAAUGAAAAAUAAGACACUGCAUGUUUGCUUUCUUUGCUCUUUGAUGUUGUGUGUCUUCUUAAAAAAAUUAGAAAACCUCCCAUUAUCCUCUGAACAAAAUUGAGUGCUGGCCUCAGACCCACUUUAUUUUCCUGAGAGCAGAUAUGAUUAUGUGGAUAAAUCCAGUUGUGAACUUAAUAAGCUUUGGCAGAAAAGGGACUGAAGGAAGGUGAGCAAUAGAACAAGCCAAGAUAAAUACCCAAAUUAACCUUCAACCCUUUCAGUGGCAUCUAAAGAUGCUAAAGGAAAGUUUGUGAGUUAAUUUCACAUGGAUGUAGCUCUCCAUUAGUUCAAGCAGCAAGUGGGAAAUUACAAAGCCAUAUAAAAUAUACUUUGGAGAGAACAUUUUAGAGAACAUUUCACAGAAGCUCUUUUUUGACCUCUCUUUAAGCCAUAGUUUGUAGCUCAGCUAUUUUGUAAUCUACUUGAAGAAGCAUAUGCUCUGUGGACGGCAUCCCACUGGACUGAAAUAAGCAGAGCAAAGUGGGAAUCAGCUUGUCCAUUCCCAAAAUUCAUUUUAAGGGGAAGUUCUUGUGAAAAACUUGACCUAACCACACUAACACCCACAUUCCUGGAACAUUGAGAGAACAAGUCCAAAAGAAGUGAAAGGUGGAAAACAGGAGGAAAACUAAAAUUGCUGCAAUUAAAAAUUGUAUGGCAAUGACACCAAGACAAAUGCAGUCUUUGCUGUGCUUCUCAGAGAAGACUUAAUGCCCAGCAAUUACUCU